AUGGUUACAGCAAAGAGGGGAAGGGGAAAGAGUGUUUUAGAUCCACCCUCACCGUCGACAGCAACAUCUCGCACGCAUCUGCUUGCACCACCGCUGCACACGGACAACCUCUUCUCUAUUCAUCAGCUUCCUUCUGUCGAUUCCGUUUUCAACCUAGCUCCAACCCAGAACUACCGCGAGAUCCAGCGGUCACAAAUCACAGCACCUUACACCAACAAACACCAAAGUCCGUGA
Vicia faba (fava bean) is the source of this 234-nucleotide non-coding RNA. NCBI's taxonomy places the organism in Eukaryota, Viridiplantae, Streptophyta, Magnoliopsida, Fabales, Fabaceae. The record is from the annotation of a GenBank genome assembly.